Molecule: long non-coding RNA, 447 nt
Organism: Perca fluviatilis (European perch)
Lineage: Eukaryota; Metazoa; Chordata; Actinopteri; Perciformes; Percidae
Exons: 2
Source: RefSeq, a predicted model, not a curated record
GGAUCAAACUCCUGGAAGGCACUGAUGAGAUCGGACUUAUGUACGAACAGUUGUUCCCUCAGAGCUCUCAGAGCUGAUCUCUCUGUCCACCCGACACUGACAAAGAACAGGGUGAGCUCUCUGCAUGUCCUGCUGGCCUGGUACUGAAUGAAGUGGGGGACCAGAUCGGGGCCCAUUCUGAUGUAGGCUCCUCUGUUGCUGCCAACCUCGUAGUAGUUAGAUGCUGAAAAUAUAGUCAGCACCUGAAUGCAAUAGAAGACAUUUAGUAAAUGUGCUAAGACUUUGUAUGUGAUCCACUGAUUGCUGCUUAAAUGAGUGGAUUUGUCACAACUUGUGUUAAGCCAUUUUGCAAAUUCUUACACGUUUUCCCGGUUUUUCAUCUCCUGUCAUACUUACCAAAGCCACUCAAAAUAAAAGUACUUUUACAAAAUCAGUUUUCCACCUUAA